GAUGAAGAACGUAGCGAAAUGCGAUAAGUAAUGUGAAUUGCAGAAUUCAGUGAAUCAUCGAAUCUUUGAACGCACAUUGCGCCCAUUAGUAUUCUAGUGGGCAUGCCUGUUCGAGCGUCAUUUCAACCCUUAAGCCCCUGUUGCUUAGCGUUGGGAGCCUACAGCCUGCUGUAGUUCCUCAAAGUUAGUGGCGGAGUCAGUUCACACUCUAGACGUAGUAAAAUCUUUAUCUCGCCUAUAGAUGAGCUGGCGCCUUGCCGUAAAAAACCCCUAAUCUUUUACAAGGUUGACCUCGGAUCAGGUAGGAAUACCCGCUGAACUUAAGCAUAUCAAUAAGCGGAGGA
This 344-nucleotide unclassified non-coding RNA is filed under the name soil metagenome. RNAcentral's name for it is "partial contains 5.8S ribosomal RNA, internal transcribed spacer 2, and large subunit ribosomal RNA". The stretch from base 1 to 120 matches the Rfam family "5.8S ribosomal RNA", at positions 35 to 154 of the family's 154-position model. The record is from RNAcentral.